UUGAACGCUGACGGCAUGCCUUACACAUGCAAGUCGAACGGCAGCACGGGUGCUUGCAUCUGGUGGCGAGUGGCGAACGGGUGAGUAAUACAUCGGAACAUGUCCUGUAGUGGGGGAUAGCCCGGCGAAAGCCGGAUUAAUACCGCAUACGAUCUACGGAUGAAAGCGGGGGACCUUCGGGCCUCGCGCUAUAGGGUUGGCCGAUGGCUGAUUAGCUAGUUGGUGGGGUAAAGGCCUACCAAGGCGACGAUCAGUAGCUGGUCUGAGAGGACGACCAGCCACACUGGGACUGAGACACGGCCCAGACUCCUACGGGAGGCAGCAGUGGGGAAUUUUGGACAAUGGGCGAAAGCCUGAUCCAGCAAUGCCGCGUGUGUGAAGAAGGCCUUCGGGUUGUAAAGCACUUUUGUCCGGAAAGAAAUCCUUGGCCCUAAUACGGUCGGGGGAUGACGGUACCGGAAGAAUAAGCACCGGCUAACUACGUG
RNAcentral lists this ribosomal RNA (485 nucleotides) under uncultured bacterium. RNAcentral's name for it is "partial 16S ribosomal RNA". It matches the Rfam family "Bacterial small subunit ribosomal RNA", at positions 30 to 507 of the family's 1533-position model. The record is from RNAcentral.